Molecule: ribosomal RNA, 427 nt
Filed under: uncultured bacterium
Lineage: Bacteria
Description: partial 16S ribosomal RNA
Rfam family: Bacterial small subunit ribosomal RNA
Source: RNAcentral
UGGGGAAUAUUGCACAAUGGGCGCAAGCCUGAUGCAGCCAUGCCGCGUGUAUGAAGAAGGCCUUCGGGUUGUAAAGUACUUUCAGCGGGGAGGAAGGUGUUGAGGUUAAUAACCUCAGCAAUUGACGUUACCCGCAGAAGAAGCACCGGCUAACUCCGUGCCAGCAGCCGCGGUAAUACGGAGGGUGCAAGCGUUAAUCGGAAUUACUGGGCGUAAAGCGCACGCAGGCGGUCUGUCAAGUCGGAUGUGAAAUCCCCGGGCUCAACCUGGGAGCUGCAUUCGAAACUGGCAGGCUAGAGUCUUGUAGAGGGGGGUAGAAUUCCAGGUGUAGCGGUGAAAUGCGUAGAGAUCUGGAGGAAUACCGGUGGCGAAGGCGGCCCCCUGGACAAAGACUGACGCUCAGGUGCGAAAGCGUGGGGAGCAAACA